ACAUGUCGAAAUCGAUAUUUAUGUAAAAAUACAGUAUCAAACAGAAUCGAAGCCAGUAUUUUAUUACAGUUACAGAAUCAUCGAGACAUAGAAAAUACAUCAUUAAUCUUUUACUACAUUUUUUUAUUCUUUCUUUUCUUUCCACUACUUUUGCUCCCCACUUCAUUUUGCCACUAACUCCACUUUUUCACUAUCACCAUUAUCAUCAAUCUUCCCACUAAACUUUGUUUCCAUUUUCUUUAAACCACAAUCAUCUCCACCAUUAUCAUCAAUCAAGCAACGUCAACCAAUGUAUCAGCCAACAUUAUAAUCUUCACUCAUUUCUUUAACACCAGAACCAGAAAAAUUGAAGGAGAUAGAGUUGUAAAAUUUCUGCCAACUUCAAAGGAGGUAAGCUUUGGCUUGAACUUCUCCAUCUUUUUCCAUGAUUUAACCUGCAAUUACUGAAACAACAAUACCAAUUUUCAGCUCAAUUCAUUCAACUCAACAACAACAAACCAACAAGAUACUCAAGGUAUUAAUUCUAUACCAAAUAUCCAUUUCAGUUCACAUACAUACACCAUUGUAUCCAUUAUGCAGCGGCGCAUUUCAGUUCAUUGCUAAACAUUGUAGACAUUUCAGUUCAUUGCUAAACAUUGUAGACAUUUCAGUUCGCUCCAUUUCAGUUCGCAUGAUCAGUAUCUUAUGAUAAAAAAAAAAAACCAUUGUAGACAUAAUGGAUUAGCAAGCUGCAUUCUUUAUAGUACAAACACCAACUACAUCAUGAUUCAUCCAUUGCUACUUCACG
This 787-nucleotide long non-coding RNA is filed under the name Salvia miltiorrhiza (redroot sage). RNAcentral's name for it is "long non-coding RNA (SMIL_LNC009996)". The record is from RNAcentral. Lineage: Eukaryota; Viridiplantae; Streptophyta; Magnoliopsida; Lamiales; Lamiaceae.